RNAcentral lists this ribosomal RNA (259 nucleotides) under uncultured bacterium. Its description in RNAcentral is "partial 16S ribosomal RNA". It matches the Rfam family "Bacterial small subunit ribosomal RNA", at positions 96 to 353 of the family's 1533-position model. The record is from RNAcentral.
UGGCGGACGGGUGAGUAACGCGUGAAUAACCUGCCCUGUACCGGGGGACAACAGUUGGAAACGGCUGCUAAUACCGCAUAAGCGCACGGUUCCGCAUGGAACAGUGUGAAAAACUCCGGUGGUACAGGAUGGAUUCGCGUCUGAUUAGCCAGUUGGUGGGGUAACGGCCUACCAAAGCAACGAUCAGUAGCCGGCCUGAGAGGGUGAACGGCCACAUUGGGACUGAGACACGGCCCAAACUCCUACGGGAGGCAGCAUG